This is a long non-coding RNA of Anguilla rostrata (American eel), 360 nucleotides long. RefSeq lists it as uncharacterized. NCBI's taxonomy places the organism in Eukaryota, Metazoa, Chordata, Actinopteri, Anguilliformes, Anguillidae. The transcript has 3 exons. The record is from RefSeq and is a predicted model, not a curated record.
CUCCAGUACAUGAAAUGCACUGAGAACGUAAAUAAAAUAAGUGUUUCCCCUUUAUUCGAAUAAAUACGGUUUGACAAACCGUGACGCAAUUUUUGUAUUUUUGAAAGCGCUUAUGGGAUUUGUAGUCAAUAAGUAGUUGUGAUUGCUGAAUCGGAUCUGGCGUUGGACUUCAUUUCCCGAAAAAGCCAUUGUCGAAACGCCAUGCGGUGCCAUCUGAAACUUGUAAAUAUUUCCACACAACUGCGCGACCGAAAGCUUGUCUGCAGCCCAACGAGCUGACCAGGGUAGCACGGUGGCUGUCUAACAGAUGGGCUGACCAUGCAGGAAGUCCCCAGAUGGAGGCGCUGUUGACAUGAAGAC